AUGAACGCUGGCGGCGUGCCUAAUACAUGCAAGUCGAGCGAACGGACGAGAAGCUUGCUUCUCUGAUGUUAGCGGCGGACGGGUGAGUAACACGUGGAUAACCUACCUAUAAGACUGGGAUAACUUCGGGAAACCGGAGCUAAUACCGGAUGAUAUUUUGAACCGCAUGGUUCAAAAGUGAAAGACGGUCUUGCUGUCACUUAUAGAUGGAUCCGCGCUGCAUUAGCUAGUUGGUAAGGUAACGGCUUACCAAGGCAACGAUGCAUAGCCGACCUGAGAGGGUGAUCGGCCACACUGGAACUGAGACACGGUCCAGACUCCUACGGGAGGCAGCAGUAGGGAAUCUUCCGCAAUGGGCGAAAGCCUGACGGAGCAACGCCGCGUGAGUGAUGAAGGUCUUCGGAUCGUAAAACUCUGUUAUUCGGGAAGAACAUAUGUGUAAGUAACUGUGCACAUCUUGACGGUACCUAAUCAGAAAGCCACGGCUAACUACGUG
RNAcentral lists this ribosomal RNA (496 nucleotides) under uncultured bacterium. Its description in RNAcentral is "partial 16S ribosomal RNA". It matches the Rfam family "Bacterial small subunit ribosomal RNA", at positions 29 to 507 of the family's 1533-position model. The record is from RNAcentral.